UUUCCGUCCAGACCGGAAUACGGAAACACCGGACAUCCGGCAGUUUUGCGAAGGCUGUAAUCAGCGGAUUGAGCACAGCUGUGCCUAGUUAAAGAGAUCGCCGGGCAAUUGGACAACUGGAGUACAUGGAGGAGUAUAAAAAGCACAGUUAGAUCACAGUUCGGGAGUUCGGGCACGAGAGGGGGAUUGACACGGGGAAAGCUCCUCUGCUUAAUGCAGAAAAAGUAACUACGUACCUUUUGAAGAGCCCGCAGGCUCUGUUGAUCCGGGCUGCGCUUGGAGCGCACGGAAAGAAGACAGGAGCUGCCUGGGGUGAAAGAAAGGCGAUACGUGGGUGGAGAAAAGGAGCACCCCGAAGAGAGCAUUGUGCUGUCAAGUUGAGUUGUAGUGUGUGCUGAGGAACGGAGCUGUGCUCAUUGUUAGACGUGGUGGCUGUCUGUAUUUCUCUCUCUCUCCCUCUCUUGUUGUAGUUUACGGUGGACCUGCUGGAGUAAACGAAGAAUCCUAUGGGUAGAAAGGAACCUUGGUCUAACCAGUAUUUUUGAAGGAGUAAAGCAGGAAGAAAAUUGACCUUGUUGCACAACGUAAACAAAGGCUAUCCGCUGUGAGUAUACCCGUUGGUGUGGAGUAACUUGCAGAAAUUAACCUGUGUGAUCGUUGGAGUCCUCCAGGACUAGGAGGGCGGCCCUACCCCUAUAAUAGCGUGGUGGGCGAGCCGCUAGAAGUGUACGUCCAAACAGCCACAGCAACGAGACUUUAUUUUGGUCGUGUUUUCCAUCGCCCCUAUUUCAGCCCAAGCGCAGUGGAGGACACCGGGCGCUUUCCCUUGUGGUGUUGCACUUAUAGUGUGAGUCAGAGGCGAAAGGGUCCGCCGCCCCCGCGGUCUCUACAAAGGGGCGCCCCUGUCCAGGAUUCGAUCGGCCUACGAGCAGUGGAGAUAGGGCAGCGCUCGACCCGGUGAGGUGGUGUGUGACCUUCGCCCCUCUGCUGACCUACGGAAGAAACCAUACCUACCCAGAAAGCUGUAAACAGCAGAGCCGGUGAGAAAUACUCGAAGUUUCAGUAACAGUGUCUUUGUGUCCUAGCGACCACCUGUGGAGAGAGAGGAAAACAAGAGUGAAUAAUUGAAGAACAGACUGUGAACGUGAUACCUACCCAGAAAGCUGUAAGCAGCAGAGCCGGUGAGAAAUACUCGAAGUUUCAGUAACAGUGUCUUUGUGUCCUAGCGACCACCUGUGGAGAGAGAGGAAAACGAGAGUGAAUAAUUGAAGAACAGACUGUGAACGUGAUACCUACCCAGAAAGCUGUAAGCGGCAGAGCCGGUGAGAAAUACUCGAAGUUUCAAGUAACAGUGUCUUUGUGUCCUAGCGACCACCUGUGGAGAGAAAGGAAAACGAGAGUGAACAAAUUGGAGAACAGACUGUGUAACGUGAUACCUACCCAGAGAGCUGUAAGCAGCAGAGCCGGUGAGCAAUACUCGAAGUCCAAGUAACAGUGUCUUGGUGUCCUAGCGACCACCUGUGGAGAACGAGAAUGAACACUAGGAGAAGGAACUGUGUGAAGAUCCAGUUGGUGGUGGAGGAGAGCCUAGAGUGGCCAUUAUUUUAAGUUCCCCGUUUUUCCCUUCCCUAUUUAUCUUUUUUUUAAGUAACUUAAAUAAAGUACAUUUUUAAAUUA
This is a non-coding RNA of Misgurnus anguillicaudatus (oriental weatherfish), 1677 nucleotides long. Lineage: Eukaryota; Metazoa; Chordata; Actinopteri; Cypriniformes; Cobitidae. The record is from RefSeq and is a predicted model, not a curated record.